GUGAAAUGAUGAUGAAGUUUAUCCAUUCUCUGAGUGCUGCUGCACUGCCCUCCCUGCAGCACCUAGAUUCCUGUUCUAGGGUCUCUGUGCUGUGCAGCCUCCAAAUACCCUCCAGCCUUUCAGUGUUCUGCUGGGGGGCUGCUUGAGGGUGUGGCUGGCUGCCUGCAGGAGUGGGACAGAGCCCGCAGGGCUGGAGCCUCUUUCCAUGGGGGCUCCAUCUCAACCGAGAUGAGUGAUGCUCUCUGAUCAC
Molecule: small nucleolar RNA, 250 nt
Filed under: Chelydra serpentina (North American snapping turtle)
Lineage: Eukaryota; Metazoa; Chordata; Testudines; Chelydridae
Description: Small nucleolar RNA SNORD17 (ENSCSRG00000003248.1)
Rfam family: Small nucleolar RNA SNORD17
About the family: The snoRNA HBI-43 belongs to the C/D family of snoRNAs, guiding 2'O-ribose methylation at position U3797 of the 28S rRNA.
Source: Rfam by way of RNAcentral